CAGCCAUACAUGCUUAAUUAAUGGUGCAGAACUAGCCAAGGAAGGGACUGUAAGAAACCUUGGAUUGGGCCACAGACAACAACAAUAUGAACGCUCCUAGAUUAUUGCUGAUCGUCUCAUGAAUACAUCUGCUCCUGUACCAAAAAUGGAAGAGGAAGAUAGGAAACACCAUGGCUUCAAAUACGAUGACUACAAACCAGCUCCUGAUGUCAGGAUUGAGCAGUGAAUUCUUCCUGAAUUGUAACCAAACAACCAAGUUGUUUC
Molecule: long non-coding RNA, 264 nt
Organism: Carcharodon carcharias (great white shark)
Lineage: Eukaryota; Metazoa; Chordata; Chondrichthyes; Lamniformes; Lamnidae
Exons: 3
Source: RefSeq, a predicted model, not a curated record